UCACGUCUUACGACGGCAGUUUCACUAGAGUUCCCAGCGUUACCUGAUGGCAACUAGUGAUGGGGGUUGCGCUCGUUGCGGGACUUAACCCAACACCUCACGACACGAGCUGACGACAGCCAUGCACCACCUGUACAGGGCCCCGAAGGACACCGGCUUUCACCGGCUUUUCCCUGCAUGUCAAGCCUAGGUAAGGUUCUGCGCGUUGCUUCGAAUUGAACCACAUGCUCCGCUGCUUGUGCGGGCCCCCGUCAAUUCCUUUGAGUUUUAACCUUGCGGCCGUACUCCCCAGGCGGUCAACUUCACGCGUUAGCUUCGUUACCAAGGAAUUGCUUCCCCGACAACCAGUUGACAUAGUUUAGGGCGUGGACUAC
This 374-nucleotide unclassified non-coding RNA is filed under the name uncultured bacterium. RNAcentral's name for it is "contains 16S-23S intergenic spacer region". The record is from RNAcentral.